UCCUACGGGAGGCAGCAGUAGGGAAUCUUCCGCAAUGGACGAAAGUCUGACGGAGCAACGCCGCGUGAGUGAUGAAGGUUUCGGAUCGUAAAGCUCUGUUGUUAGGGAGAACAAGUACCGUUCGAAUAGGCGGUACCUUGACGGUACCUAACCAGAAAGCCACGGCCAACUACGUGCCAGCAGCCGCGGUA
This 191-nucleotide ribosomal RNA is filed under the name uncultured Bacillus sp. RNAcentral's name for it is "partial 16S ribosomal RNA". It matches the Rfam family "Bacterial small subunit ribosomal RNA", at positions 337 to 522 of the family's 1533-position model. Lineage: Bacteria; Bacillati; Bacillota; Bacilli; Caryophanales; Bacillaceae. The record is from RNAcentral.